UUUUCUAUAACUCAGUUUUUGUGAAACAAACGCACAAAAAAAUCAUAAAAAUUACUUGCAGUUGUUAAACCAAUGCGUGAACAACCAAAAACAUUCUCUCUAGUUGGAAGAGUUUCUUUUGAACCUCUGCCAAAAAGAGUCACCCUUUUCUUCCCUUUCUUUUGAACUAAACCUUUCUAAGUUUGAUAUUUUCACUUCCGCAAAAGGGCAAUGAGCAUAAUUGACUAGCAUCUCUUUCAAUUCUUUCUCUACCCUAGUAGAACCUUCCCAACGAUGUAUAUCGCACCAUAUGGCCAAGCUUCACUACUAGAUUUCAAACCAAUAUUCUACUCAAACUUUGCAAGCCCAACAUCACACAUCCAGCACAUGUUGGGACUCUUUCCCUCUAAGCAAUACUUGUAAAUGUUUUGGAGGGUAAGAGUUCCCUCUAUCUUUAGUGGAGAACCCUUACAAAGUCGCUCAUAAUUUUGAAAAGUCAUCUCAGAUCCCGAAGUAGGGCUCUCCGUACUGCACAUACUAGAGGACAUCCUCUACCUAAUAGGAAAUGGGAAGUUCUGCUCUAGACAAUGGCAGAUCUUGAUAUACUUAUCCCUUGCCAAAUGCAUGUUGCUCUUUAUGUUGUCCAGCAUUGUGCUACAACCCUUCCAAGCCCAAAAAGGAAACAAACACCUUUUGGUAUCAUUCGCUAGUAGGAAACAAACACCUUAUGUAGAUCUUCUGAAACACAUUUAUAGAAGGUUCCUCAUGUUGCUGGUAGUAAAAGUAUGUAACACCCAAUGCCUGAUCCGCUUGCCGGGUCUAAAUUAUAGGAUGUUAUAUUUCAAAUUAGUCAAUUUAAAUUAUACUCCCAAUAUUAUUACCUGCAAAAAAAAAAAGAGUAAAGACAAAGGACAUAAUUAAUACUGCUACUAAAUAAAUUCAAGACUUAAAUGAAUCUACAUCGUUAAUAAAACUUUAAUUGAAUAUAAAACAAUUUCACCAAGUGAACCUUACUUAUAUAAAAUGGUCACUUAAUAUUUUGACUACCUAGUUUCAAUUACAACAAAGACCCUGAGACUCGUCUCUGGGUUGCCCCAUUGCAUACAAGUUACAAUUAAGAAAUAAAGAUGUUGUUGCACGACGAACUCUGGCUUGGUCCCUUUUCAAACUCUCAAAUUCCUUUUUCUACCUACAAUACAUAAUAACACAUGUGUAAGUUCUAAAAAACUUAGUGAGUUAUCAUACCUUUUUAAAUCACCACACGAUCACGCUUGAGUUUCACUUUGAUUAUUCUAUGACAGGAUAGUUUGCCUAUCUCUUUAGCGUAGUGGCUUACUUGCAUUUAACACCUCACUUUCAAUAACACCGUCACUGGUUUAAUUCCACACUUGGAAGCAGAGAUUUUAUGUGCGGUUUACGAUGCCUAGCACAUAUAUAGCUUCCACUAAUAAUUUCUCAUAAACGCAAUCUCGUUAGCAAUUGGUUUCUUGGACAAUUAAUCAUUGUGGAAUCUUUUGAAAUUAACUUCUUUACGAUAUGAUCUUUUUAAGUACGACCCGUCAUUAGAGCUUACUUUGAUGAAAUUUUAGUGGAUGGACCCUUCUCUUGCAUCACAUUGGUAGACACUGAUGUUUCGUACAGUAUCUCAGACAAUUCAUAAUUUCUAGUAGUAUAUAGGAAUACUCUCAUGCUGUGCCCAACAAGAACCUGGCGGACUGUCAUAUAAAUAAUAUGACUUCCUUAAAGUUUGCCUACGGACUCAUUCUUGGCGAACCAAUAGAAUCAGGUUUGAAUACUCGAACAAUUUCCUCACUUUCAUCAUAUUGAAUCCUGCAACUAUGGUAGAUAAAAAACUAUAAAAACAGAGCCAACAGACUAUCUGUUGGUGCAAGAACAGAAUCAAGCAGACUCAGCAAGUAUCUUGUCGAGCAAGCCUUAAAACUUGCUGAGCAAACAAACAAUUUCGAGUUAAAGAAAGAAGAGAAUAAGCUGGGAAAAUUUGAGAGAAUAUUGAUGAACAAAAGCUGAUUUCAUUCAUAAGUUGAACAAUGGCAUAAUGCCAAUACAUAAACCAAGCAAUUUGCUUGUCAAAAUCUGCAUAAUGAUACCUAAUCAUCACCUACUACCACUAAUACAUUGAAACUUGAAAAACUAAGCUUGCACACUUAAACAAAGCUGACUUAACAGCUUAAUUGUCAUCAAAAUACAUCAAUCAUAAACCUAACAUAGUUCUAAAAGAACUAAAGUACAUUACAUUAACUUAAGAUUACAAGUUGAACAAAAUAGGAAUAGUUCAGCUCGUUCCAGCAGCUCCUGCAUGACUUGGUCUUGAUGGCCUGCAUGCUGUCGAGUUUGCUGCAUGCUGAAUCAACUUCAUCACUCCUCCUUGGUUUGCAUGGAGCAAACACCUAGCAUCUUUCUUAGAUAUUCAAACCUUGUGACACUAAGAGCUUUGGUUAAAAUGUCAGCAAGUUGAUCCUCUGAAUUACAGUGGAUCAGCUUUACUUCCUGAGCUUGCUCCAUUUCUCGAACAACAUGCAACUUGAUGCUGAAAUGUUUUGUUCUUCCAUGGAACACUGGAUUUUUAGCAAUUGCUACUGCAGAUUGAUUGUCACAGAAGAUCUCUGUUGCUUCCAUUUGAUCCAUAUUCAAAUCAGCCAGGAUUUUCCUAAGCCAAAUGGCUUGGUUGACAGCACUUGCUGCUGCCACAUACUCUGCUUCAGCAGUAGAUUGUGCCACCAGACUUUGCUUCUUAGAGCUCCAGCAGAACAUGGCUGAACCAAGUCUAAAAGCAUACCCUGAGGUGCUUUUCAUGUCAUCUAUCGAUCCAGCCCAGUCACUAUCAGUGUACCCAACUAGAUUUAGAUUUCCUUUUCUGCUGUACCUUAAGCCAUAGUCCAAAGUGCCUUUGACAUAUCUGAGCACUCUCUUGGCAGCCUGGAAAUGCUUCUCAUUGCAACAAUGCAAGAACCUUGAGAGCAAUCCUACAGCAUACAUUAUGUCUGGUCUAGUGGCAGUCAAGUAUAGCAAACAACCAACUAGACUCCUGUAGGUAGUUUCACAUACCUUCUCAAAAUCUCCUUGGCUCGAUAGUUUUUCUCCAACAGCAACAGGUGUUUUAGUUGGUUUGCUGUUUUGCAUGGAGAACUUGGUCAGAAUCUUUGUGGCAAAGCUCUUCUGACUUAAAAAUAUCCCAUUCUGUGCUUGAGUCACCUCCAUUCCAAGAAAAUAGGACAUCUCCCCAAGAUCAGACAUUUCAAACACCUCUUGCAUCUUGGUCUUGAAAUUAACCAGCACUGCUUGAUCUCCUCCUGUCACCAGCAGGUCAUCAACAUAUAGGGACACAAUGAGUUGUGUUUGUGUCCCUUGCUUCUUGACAUACAGUGUUGGCUCACUCUUGCUUCGAUUGAAUCCCAGAUCAGUCAAGUAGCCAUCGAUUCUGCUGUACCAGGCCCUUGGAGCCUGUUUUAAGCCAUAUAGGGCCUUCUUCAAUUUGUAGACCAUAUGCUCUCUGCCAGCUAUUUCAAACCCUUGUGGUUGUUCAACAUAGAUAUCUUCAUCUAAGAAACCAUUCAGAAAGGCUGAUUUCACAUCAAGUUGAUGAAUCUUCCAUUCGAGCUGUGCUGCUAAGGCAAUCAGCAGUCUGAUGGUGUCGAGCCUGGCCACUGGUGCAAAGGUCUCCAAGUAGUCCAAGCCAUACCUCUGACUGAACCCCUUGACCACCAGCCUUGCUUUUAACUUGUUCAAGGUACCAUCAGCAUUCUGCUUGGCUUUGUACACCCAUUUCACCCCAAUCACCUUCCUUUUGACUGGCCUUUCAACCAAUUCCCAGGUCUGGUUCUUCUCAAUCAUGCUGAUCUCCUCAGCCAUUGCCUGCUUCCACCCUUGUUGAGCCUCAGCCUCUUCAAAGUUGCUUGGUUCAGCUAUGGCUACAUGAGCCCUUUCAUAAACCUCAGCCAAUGACCUUGUUCCUCUGACUGGUUCAUCAUCAAUAUCCAUUUCAGGGACAUUUUGGUCUGGCUCAGCUUGGUCUACUGCAAGUUCUUCAGAAACUUCUUCAGGUUCAUGUCUUUCCCAGUUCCAACAUGACCUCUCAUCAAAUACCACAUCCCUGCUUAUUGAUACUUUGUUUGUUGAAGGAUCUAAAAUCCUAUAGCCCUUCUUAACAGUGCUAUACCCCACCAAAACACCAGGUCGAGCCCUUUCAGACAAUUUGUCCCUUUUAACAGCAGGUACAUGUGUAUAACAGAUGCAUCCAAAGACCUUCAGAUGAGCCAAUGAUGGCUUGAAGCUAAACCAGGCCUCGAAUGGGGUCUUUUGAUCCAAAGCCUUGGUUGGAAGUCUAUUUUGAAUGUAUGUUGCAGUGUUAACUGCUUCUGCCCAUAGUGCUUUAGGCAGAUUUUUCUGAAUCAUCAAGCACCUGGCCAUAUCCAUCAAACUCCUAUUCUUCCUUUCACUUACCCCAUUCUGCUGAGGUGUAUAUGUGUUGGUAAGUUGAUGUUUGAUGCCUGCCUUAUCACAGAAGGCUUGGAACUGAGCUGAGGUGUACUCAGUCCCAUUAUCAGACCUUAUGGUCUUCAGCUUGCAGCCUGUUUCAGUCUCAGAAGCAGUCUUGAACUUCCAAAACACUGAGGCCACUUCAGAUUUCUGUUUUAAAAAGUAAAUCCAGCAAUAUCUCGAGAAAUCAUCAAUGAACAGUAUGAAAUACCUGUUUCCACUUAAUGACUCAGUCUUCAUAGGGCCACACACAUCAGUAUGCACCAGUUGGAGUUUUUCAGAGGCUCUCCAGGCUUGAUUCGAGGGAAAUGGGAGUCUGGCCUGCUUUCCUAGCUGACAUACAUCACAUACAUCAUCAUGGUCCACUGAGUUGAUGAAAUUUUCAGCCAGGUCCUCUCUGACCAUUCGAGCCAUCGAUCUGAAGUUGGCAUGUCCCAAUCUUUGAUGCCACAGCUUGGAUUCAUCUGAAGUGGCUGUGUAGGCAAUGUCUGACUUUUUUGUCCAGUCAACCACAAAGCUCUUAUCAGCCAUAGGGACUGCCAUCAGUUUGGAUCCACUUGGAUCAUUGAUUUGGCAAUGGUGGUCUUUAAACACAACUGAAUAACCUUUUUCCAGCAACUGAGCUAUGCUAAGCAGGUUUCUGUCAAUUUCAGGCACCAACAGCACAUUUGAAAUCACUUUGGUACCUGUAAGGGUGCAUAUCAGCACAUCACCCUUGCCUUCAGCUUGAAUAAAAUGACCAUUUCCUAUCUUGACUUUAGUUCUGCAGCUUCUGUCUAAAGACUUGAAGAUUGCAGCAUCAGGUGUCAUGUGGUUGGUGCAUCCACUGUCUAGAAGCCAACCAGAUGAGGACCUUUCCUGAGCAGCUGAGCAUGACACAGCAAAGACUUGCUCCUCUUGGUCACUGUCCUCCUUAGCUACUCGAGCCUCAGCUUUCAUCUGUUGAAACUGAUUCUGCCUCGAUUUGGUCUUACUCUUGCAGACUCUCUCAACAUGACCCUUCUUCUUACAAUGCUGACACACAGCAUCUGGAUUGAACCAGCAUUUUUCUUCUGAAUGACCAGCCUUUCUACAGUGCUUGCAAGUCUGACCUUCUCUCCUUGCAGCAUCAUUCUUUGGCUUGUCUCUCCAGGCCUUCUUGCCUUUGUAGGCAGUAUUUGUUCUUGCCUGAAAGGCACCUUCUUGGUGCUCCUCCAGUCUGCUUGCUCUCCUCUGCUCUUGAGCAUAUAGAGCAUUGAUCAACUCUGUCAGGGAGAUGGUGGACAGAUCCCUUGAGUCCUCGAGAGAUGAGAUUUUUGCCUCAUACCUCUCAGGCAGAGUUGCUAUAACCUUCUCCACUAUCCUACCUUCAUUGAACUGCUCUCCAAGGAGCCUGAUGCUGUUAACCACAGCCAUAAUCCUGUCAGAAUAUUGCUUGACAGUUUCUUCUUCCUUCAUCUUCAAAUUCUCGAAAUCUCUCCUCAAGUUUAACAACUGUUGCUGCCUUGUCCUCUCAGUCCCUUGAAACUCUUCCUGCAACUUAUCCCAGGCCUGUUUUGGUGAUUCACAGGCCAUAAUCCUUGUGAAAAUCACAUCAGACACUGAGUUUUGGAUGCAAGACAUAGCUUUGUGCCUCUUGGUCCUUUCAUCAGCAUGCUGCCUGAUCUGAGCCACUGUUGGAUUAGCUCUAAGUGGCUCUGGUUCAACAUCAAAGUUGACCACCUCCCACAGAUCGAAAGCCUGCAGGUAGGUCUUCAUUUUGACCACCCAUAUGUGAUAGCCUUCUCCAUUGAAGACUUGAGGUGCAGCAGGUGUAAAGCUUGAUGAAGCCAUGGAAUUGAGUAACAGAUCCCUUAAGAAAUAGGCUCUAGAUACCAAUUGUUGGUGCAAGAACAGAAUCAAGCAGACUCAGCAAGUAUCUUGUCGAGCAAGCCUUAAAACUUGCUGAGCAAACAAACAAUUUCGAGUUAAAGAAAGAAGAGAAUAAGCUGGGAAAAUUUGAGAGAAUAUUGAUGAACAAAAGCUGAUUUCAUUCAUAAGUUGAACAAUGGCAUAAUGCCAAUACAUAAACCAAGCAAUUUGCUUGUCAAAAUCUGCAUAAUGAUACCUAAUCAUCACCUACUACCACUAAUACAUUGAAACUUGAAAAACUAAGCUUGCACACUUAAACAAAGCUGACUUAACAGCUUAAUUGUCAUCAAAAUACAUCAAUCAUAAACCUAACAUAGUUCUAAAAGAACUAAAGUACAUUACAUUAACUUAAGAUUACAAGUUGAACAAAAUAGGAAUAGUUCAGCUCGUUCCAGCAGCUCCUGCAUGACUUGGUCUUGAUGGCCUGCAUGCUGUCGAGUUUGCUGCAUGCUGAAUCAACUUCAUCACUAUCAGAACUUGUAUCCGCCUCACUUUAUCUUCUGGUAUAGGCACAACGACCUUCAUAUAAUAAUAUGUCACAUUUUUGUAGACUCAUACAAAUAAGUGUGUUGUAGAAUCAUAUUUGCAAGAUAGUUCUGGUAGACUUUCCUCAUAACAAUAGUCUUAGUGGACUUUCCCCAUGUUAGAUAGUCCCCACGGACUUCCACAUUUAAGAGUUUCCUAGCAGACUUCCACAUUUUAGAUCAUCUUGACAGACUUUCGCAUUUAAGAUUAUCCUGAUGGAUUUCCACAUUUAAGAUCAUCUUGGCGGGCUUCUACAUUUUAGAUUGUCUUAACAAACUUCCACAUUUACAGUAAUGCCAUGGCCAUGGACUUCUAUUUGUCUCAUAAAUGGCUCACAUAUACGUCCCUCAAGGGGCUCUCAAACGUCUUAUAAAGGGAUCUUAUACGUCCCACACAAGGAGCUCUCAUAUAUGAGUGAGCACCAAGUCUAUGUAUCAUCUAAUCUCUUUUCUCGACUUAGUCCAACCAAAACUCCCUUAAAGCCAUAUAAAUAUAAUACAUAUGCACUCCGGUGUAUGACCAUCCGAACCUCCUUAAAGCCACAUAAAUAUCAUGCAUAACAUAUACAACAUUCCAUCAACAGAUAUUGUCUGUCACAGGACAUAUAAUACGCCAAUCAUACCAUUAUGCAAUAUAAUCAUAUUUACUACCAAUCAUUCAAAUCAAUUUAGUACACAAAAAAGUUAUCACGCCAAGUCUUUCACUUACUUAGCAUAACUAACGCACAACUAUAUAAUCACAUAUCAUUAUGUAACAUAUACCUGGUAUAGGAUUUUGUGCAAGUAUACAUGGCAGUUCAAGUGAUAAAGUGUGACAGCCCUAAUUUGACCCUAGUCGGAAAGUGGUUUCGGGACCACAAAAACCGAGUCGUAAAAAUAAUUAACCGUCAUAUUUGAUGCUUAUUAUAUGUAUAUAUGCAUGUGUGAAAAUUUCAUGUUUGAAUUUUGUUAAUUGUAAGUGAAUUUUAUUAAAUAGGACUUAUAUGAGAAAAUUUAGAAAUGUGCUAGACAAAGGUAAAAGUGAUCUAAUAGUGCAUGAUGUCAAAAAAAAUGUACUUGCAUGUCAAAUUAGCCAAAUUUUAGAUAGUGG
This 7980-nucleotide long non-coding RNA is filed under the name Gossypium barbadense (sea-island cotton). Its description in RNAcentral is "long non-coding RNA (GBAR_LNC009064)". The record is from RNAcentral. Lineage: Eukaryota; Viridiplantae; Streptophyta; Magnoliopsida; Malvales; Malvaceae.